AUCUUGCGCAAUGGGCGAAAGCCUGACGCAGCAACGCCGCGUGCGGGAUGAAGGCCCUCGGGUUGUAAACCGCUUUCAGCAGGGACGAAAAUGACGGUACCUGCAGAAGAAGCCCCGGCCAACUACGUGCCAGCAGCCGCGGUAACACGUAGGGGGCAAGCGUUGUCCGGAUUUAUUGGGCGUAAAGAGCUCGUAGGCGGUUCCGUCAGUCGGGUGUGAAAACUCUGGGCUCAACCCAGAGACGCCACCCGAUACUGCGGUGACUAGAGUCCGGUAGGGGAGCGUGGAAUUCCUGGUGUAGCGGUGAAAUGCGCAGAUAUCAGGAGGAACACCAACGGCGAAGGCAGCGCUCUGGGCCGGCACUGACGCUGAGGAGCGAAAGCGUGGGUAGCGAACAGG
RNAcentral lists this ribosomal RNA (399 nucleotides) under uncultured bacterium. RNAcentral's name for it is "bacterial SSU rRNA". It matches the Rfam family "Bacterial small subunit ribosomal RNA", at positions 361 to 776 of the family's 1533-position model. The record is from RNAcentral.